Long non-coding RNA from Gymnodraco acuticeps, 1398 nucleotides. RefSeq lists it as uncharacterized. The record is from RefSeq and is a predicted model, not a curated record. Lineage: Eukaryota; Metazoa; Chordata; Actinopteri; Perciformes; Bathydraconidae. The transcript is spliced from 3 exons.
CUCGCAGAAGAAGUCAUUCGUUCUUUCAAGAUGGCCGAACAACAAGUUGAAACAGCGGAUUCACAAUGUACAGGUGCAAUGGGGUGUGUUGCAAAUCGCCACAUUUCCACUGCUGCUACUGUGGGGAGUUCAGAACCCAGCCCACUAUUAUGAAUCAUGUUCAGAAGUGCGCAGUGGCAGCCUGCAGCGUUGGAUCGCUUCGCCAGACCGCCACUGUCUCCUCCUCAGCCUACCCUGUCACCUCUGCAGCCUCCCAAAUUGCCACAGCAUCUGUAGCCUCCACUCCACUCCAAGCCAUCAGUCGCAGCAAAGUAGUCCAGUCAAGGGCCAAAAGGACAACAUGCCCUUUGUGUAAAACUGAAUUAUAUAUGAAAAACCUCAAGACCCACAUGGAUCGACGUCACUCAUCAUCUGUUCCUGAUAUUACUUCUAAUCACCAUCUUCCAUCCCAAUGCUUAGACCUCAAAAAGGGCAUUUUUGCUGUUGGAAGAACAUUUUCUGGGCUGAGAAACCCCAUUCAUGUACAGAAGUUCACCUGGGGAAACAGCCACCAAGUUGUUUGUGAACUUGAAAAUUGCAAGCAGGCAUCAGAAUUUUCCAGAAGAAGUAACUUAUUAGGGUUUGAGUGUAUUCAUGUUAGGUCUCUGAUAUACUGUCCUACUUCAUCCAAACCAGACGUCACACUGAAGGAGGAAGUUCUGUCAGAUAUGGUUGGGAAGAAAUGGAUUUCUGACAACACAAAAAGAAUGUGUCUAGUCAGAAAGGAGAAAGCUAAGUCUGAAAACAGCCCACUGAGUAAAGUAGUGACAUUUUGCAGUGGCGCAUCAAGAGUUUGUGUCAGUACUUGAAACAUGCACCUCAUAAUAUUCGCGGUUAGGGAGAGUGUCUGUAUGUUAUGACGUAAAAAUAAAUGCUUGGCAGUGUCCAUGCUCAAAGCCAAAUAAUUCCUGUGCUCAUAAGUCCAUAGCAAAAUGGCACUUGAAUCAGACCCGACCUGAACUCUUCCUAAAGGUCUGAAGUACAGACAGUGAUGUGUUUGAGACCUUUGUUGAAUCUGUUCCUGAAGGCCACAGUACUGAGGACAUUCUCUAUCCACCUGAGGGAGCCGCUUUGACAUCACUUGUUCUUUACUUGUUGGACCACAAGAAAUUGCCAGCUGUUCUGUCAACGGAUGCAUGUUCACCGCAGAACAUGGAGACACUGCCAAAGCGCCUCAUACCUCUUGAGAACUUUUGCACUGUUUGCCCAGGAAAAAUUCCUCUGUUGGAUUCUGCAGCAUUGACUGUUUUUAUGAUGCUGGAGGCACCUUCCAUGAAAAUGGCUGAUGGGGUUAAUAAUAAUUAGAACAGCCAAUAAAAUGUUUGUUUAAUAAAGACUUUCCUCUUUGUAUGUACUGUA